GUGUUGUGAAAUGUUGGGUUAAGUCCCGCAACGAGCGCAACCCUUAUCCUUUGUUGCCAGCGAUUAGGUCGGGAACUCAAAGGAGACUGCCAGUGAUAAACUGGAGGAAGGUGGGGAUGACGUCAAGUCAUCAUGGCCCUUACGACCAGGGCUACACACGUGCUACAAUGGCGCAUACAAAGAGAAGCGACCUCGCGAGAGCAAGCGGACCUCAUAAAGUGCGUCGUAGUCCGGAUUGGAGUCUGCAACUCGACUCCAUGAAGUCGGAAUCGCUAGUAAUCGUGGAUCAGAAUGCCACGGUGAAUACGUUCCCGGGCCUUGUACACACCGCCCGUCACACCAUGGGAGUGGGUUGCAAAAGAAGUAGGUAGCUUAACCUUCGGGAGGGCGCUUACCACUUUGUGAUUCAUGACUGGGGUGAAGUCGUAACAAGGUAACCGUAGGGGAACCUGC
This 453-nucleotide ribosomal RNA is filed under the name Salmonella enterica subsp. enterica. RNAcentral describes it as "bacterial SSU rRNA". It matches the Rfam family "Bacterial small subunit ribosomal RNA", at positions 1062 to 1515 of the family's 1533-position model. The record is from RNAcentral. Lineage: Bacteria; Pseudomonadati; Pseudomonadota; Gammaproteobacteria; Enterobacterales; Enterobacteriaceae. RNAcentral also lists the same sequence under 1 other name.